UACGAAGGGGGCUAGCGUUGUUCGGAAUGACUGGGCGUAAAGCGCACGUAGGCGGAUCGUCAAGUUGGGUGUGAAAUCCCGAGGCUCAACCUCGGAACUGCAUUCAAAACUGUCGAUCUGGAGGCCAGGAGGGGUCAGUGUAAUACCGAGUGUAGAGGUGAAAUUCGCAGAUAUUCGGUGGAACACCAGUGGCUAAGGCGACUGACUGGACUGGUACUGACGCUGAGUUGCGAAAGUGUGGGGAGCAAACAGG
RNAcentral lists this ribosomal RNA (253 nucleotides) under uncultured bacterium. Its description in RNAcentral is "partial 16S ribosomal RNA". It matches the Rfam family "Bacterial small subunit ribosomal RNA", at positions 524 to 776 of the family's 1533-position model. The record is from RNAcentral.